This 492-nucleotide ribosomal RNA is filed under the name uncultured bacterium. RNAcentral describes it as "partial 16S ribosomal RNA". It matches the Rfam family "Bacterial small subunit ribosomal RNA", at positions 29 to 507 of the family's 1533-position model. The record is from RNAcentral.
AGUGAACGCUGGCGGUAGGCCUAACACAUGCAAGUCGAACGGCAGCACAGUAAGAGCUUGCUCUUACGGGUGGCGAGUGGCGGACGGGUGAGGAAUACAUCGGAAUCUACUUUUUCGUGGGGGAUAACGUAGGGAAACUUACGCUAAUACCGCAUACGACCUACGGGUGAAAGCAGGGGAUCUUCGGACCUUGCGCGAUUGAAUGAGCCGAUGUCGGAUUAGCUAGUUGGCGGGGUAAAGGCCCACCAAGGCGACGAUCCGUAGCUGGUCUGAGAGGAUGAUCAUCCACACUGGAACUGAGACACGGUCCAGACUCCUACGGGAGGCAGCAGUGGGGAAUAUUGGACAAUGGGCGCAAGCCUGAUCCAGCCAUACCGCGUGGGUGAAGAAGGCCUUCGGGUUGUAAAGCCCUUUUGUUGGGAAAGAAAAGCAGCAGGUUAAUACCCCGCUGCUCUGACGGUACCCAAAGAAUAAGCACCGGCUAACUUCGUG